CGGCAACAGCUCAAAUUUGAAAUCUGGCACUUGUGCCCGAAUUGUAAUUUGUAGAGGAUGCUUUUGGUGCGGCGCCUUCUGAGUUCCCUGGAACGGGACGCCAGAGAGGGUGAGAGCCCCGUAUAGUCGGACGCCUAGCCUCUGUAAAGCUCCUUCGAC
This 159-nucleotide ribosomal RNA is filed under the name Sporidesmium sp. Its description in RNAcentral is "partial large subunit ribosomal RNA". It matches the Rfam family "Eukaryotic large subunit ribosomal RNA", at positions 99 to 261 of the family's 3401-position model. The record is from RNAcentral. Lineage: Eukaryota; Fungi; Ascomycota; Sordariomycetes; Sporidesmiaceae.